This 251-nucleotide ribosomal RNA is filed under the name uncultured bacterium. RNAcentral describes it as "partial 16S ribosomal RNA". It matches the Rfam family "Bacterial small subunit ribosomal RNA", at positions 525 to 775 of the family's 1533-position model. The record is from RNAcentral.
ACGUAGGGAGCAAGCGUUGUCCGGAAUUACUGGGUGUAAAGGGAGCGUAGGCGGGACGGUAAGUCAGAUGUGAAAUUUAUGGGCUCAACCCAUAACCUGCAUUUGAAACUGCUGUUCUUGAGUGAAGUAGAGGUUGGCGGAAUUCCUAGUGUAGCGGUGAAAUGCGUAGAUAUUAGGAGGAACAUCAGUGGCGAAGGCGGCCAACUGGGCUUUUACUGACGCUGAGGCUCGAAAGCGUGGGUAGCAAACAG